RNAcentral lists this ribosomal RNA (501 nucleotides) under uncultured bacterium. Its description in RNAcentral is "partial 16S ribosomal RNA". It matches the Rfam family "Bacterial small subunit ribosomal RNA", at positions 30 to 523 of the family's 1533-position model. The record is from RNAcentral.
AUUGAACGCUGGCGGCAGGCUUAACACAUGCAAGUCGAGCGGAGCGAGGGUGCUUGCACCUUAGCUUAGCGGCGGACGGGUGAGUAAUGCUUAGGAAUCUGCCUAUUAGUGGGGGACAACAUUCCGAAAGGAAUGCUAAUACCGCAUACGCCCUACGGGGGAAAGCAGGGGAUCUUCGGACCUUGCGCUAAUAGAUGAGCCUAAGUCGGGUUAGCUAGUUGGUGGGGUAAAGGCCUACCAAGGCGACGAUCUGUAGCGGGUCUGAGAGGAUGAUCCGCCACACUGGGACUGAGGCACGGCGCAGACUCCUACGGGAGGCAGCAGUGGGGAAUAUUGGACAAUGGGCGGAAGCCUGAUCCAGCCAUGCCGCGUGUGUGAAGAAGGCCUUUUGGUUGUAAAGCACUUUAAGCGAGGAGGAGGCUACUUAGAUUAAUACUCUGGGAUAGUGGACGUUACUCGCAGAAUAAGCACCGGCUAACUCUGUGCCAGCCGCCGCGGUAA